AAUUGAUAAGGUAUUGUACGCGUUGAGCCAGCUGAGUUGAUUGCUGACUUGUUGAUGGUCCACGCAUUGGCAAGUGGUCUUGCGAGUUACACUCCACGCACAAAUCAACACACGUUCGCCGGUUUCAAAAGUUUGGAAAGUGAAAAUCCUUUCGCUGUAUGGGUGAAUGUGUGCAGCAGCAAACAGCAAGCAGGGAGCGGCAGUGGCCGGCACUGAAUCGGGUCAUACGAGGACGCAAGCGCGAUUGAGCACAAAAUGGCAUAGAAUAAGAAGAUCAAGUAAUGAAUGAAAGUGUUCUAAAAAUGUAAAGAAUGAAAAUUAAUUUAGAAUUGAAAUUGAACUUUGAAUUUUGAAGCAAAUUUUGUUGCCGUCUGACAAAAUAAGCUCAAAUAUUUUAGGUAUCCCCUAUUGACAAAACUAAUCGAUUGGUUUUGAAUUUUGAUUGUGCUUGUUAAACACAAAGUAUUUAUAUAACUAAUAUUUAGUGAGCUCUUGCGUAAUUGCAUUAUAUGUACAUGGUUUUCUCCUUCGUAGAUAUCGCCACACCUAAAAAUUAGUCCUGUCUCCGCCACUGGUAGUAAUUAACACGGUUUCAGUACUGGUUUCAACAGCCACAUAGUCCAACACGUUUUUCUUUGUUGGUGUCCAAUCCACACGAUGAUGUACAUCUGAGAUUGAGUAUCCAGAGCGCCUCAAAUGGGUCUUAUUGGCAUUUGGUGACAGAUCCUACUAAACAAGCACAAGAUAAUGACCAUUUUCAUAUAAACGGUGGCAACCCACUUAACAUUUAUAGAUGCGACCAAUUAGUCUAUGCUUAUUUUUCUCGGGCAAUGCAUAUUUACAUUUUUUUUGCGAGAAUUGCAUAUUUGCAUUACGUCACGCUAGGAUAUCGAGCGGGUGAUGGACAGUGGUGGUGGUUCAUUCGGGUGAAAUGUUUCUGAUGGUUAUAUUUAGUUUGUUUGUGAUGUCGAGCGACUGUCUUGCUUGUAGUGAGGCACAGUCUAGCCUCGUGUCAAGUAGCGCCCGGAAUGGGCAAGCAAAUUAGGGACCGCAAGCAUUGAGCAUUUUUUGCUUUUUUUCAUAGUUUUGCUUUAAUUUUACCUUUGCUUAUAAUUCUAAAUAUAUCUAUUAUGAAAAUCAAUUUACAUACAUAAUUGAAAAAUGUUAGUCAUGCAUUUAAAAAUGUUAACAUGUAUAGAAAAAUAUUUCUAAUGUAUACAAAAAAUGUACAAUGUCCGCGGAAAAAAAAUAGACAUCAAAACAUACAUAUGAGGAAAAGGAUAAUCAUGUAUUUAAAAAAAUCAGGUCUGCAUACAAAUAUAUUUCAGGCGAAUACAAAAGGUACAAUGUGUAUACAAAGAAGUAGAUAUCAAAACAUAUAUAUGAGUGUGUUACCUGUAAUAAGUUUUUUUGGCAGCUACUUUAGGAUAUGGCCAAGAGUUGUGAAUCAUCCUUGAUGUGGACUUUCGCCUUGUCUUUUCUAAUAAAAAUGUCGGAAGCGGGGCCCUUUGAUUAAAAAAUAUAGAUAUGAAAAAAAUACCGUGCGUGUGAUUUUCCUAAAGAUGGAGGGGGGUUUCGUAAAAACACCGGGCCGAGCGGUUGUGCCACAACGCGGCCAGCGUGGCGCCAUUUGUCAAUUUUUGAUUGGCUUUGGACUAAAUCUUCACAUACAUUGCAAGUUUAGAGAUGUGGUGAUCACCUUUUGCAAGUUUGUGGACUAAAUCAUCACAUCCAUUGCAAGUUUGUGGGUCUAUAGUGCUCUUCCCUCUUAAUUAUUAGGGAAAUUAGUAAAUCCACUUUAUAACCACCGGACGAAAAGCGAACGAUGCGGAGCAGGCAUGGGAGCAGAGGCAUGGAAGAGAGCUCAGCCGCCCUUGGGGAUUGGUACUGCUGGCCCCAGUUGUCUGUGAGCGAGGCAGAAGCUUCUGGAGGAAGGCAAAUAUCCCCACGGGCCAUCUCACCCGCUAUGCUCCAAACAAAACACUCGCUUUAGCCUCCUCCCACCCCCCUGCAAUUCCACAGACACACACGCCUCGGCCUCUACGCCGGGCAUGGCGACUCCUGUCGCCGCCGCCGCCGCCGCCGCCCUCCUGUUCAUGGCAUCCUUUCUCCCUUCAGUCGGAUCCACGCCCAUAUUCAUCUCUAGCAACGCCACUUUUACCAUCUACAACCAGACCGCAUUCCCCAGGAUACCUACAGGCGUCGGUUUGGCUCACGUCGGGGCAACGCGGACCUUUCUCCUUGAUCCGGAGGCAGAGGUAAAGAACUCGCUUCUUACCAUGGGGAGGUCUAAGCGGGAGCCAAUCUCGAGACCGUGGCUUCUCUGGGAUGGCACUCCAGUCGCUGCGCCGACCAAGCCUAGAUCCUCUACGCGACCACGCGCAUCACACCGCCCCAAGCAUCGGCCAGUCAUCGUACCGAAGAAGGCGGCUUCUGCCACUUCGGCUACCCCUCGCGGCCCCGCACCUUGUCCGUCUCCGGUACUGCCACCCCAACAGGGAGACUCGACGCCACGCUCGCCAAGUGCGCCGCACAACGGCCCUUCUCCUUCAGAUUCCUGCGACGGGCCUUUGGCCGCGCCUGCCUCCGCUCCCACUGUCGUCCACGAUCCAGCCCCCGCACCGGCUCCAGCGCCCGCUCCCGCACCGGCUCCCGCACCAGCGCCGGCACCGGCUCCCGCACCAGCUCCCGUGACUGGUCGAAGAUUCGGCCCUAAGUCGAUUUUGAAGUUUCUGAUUAAGGCAACUGGGACGGCCUGCAAAACAUGGGAGAAGAAGAAAUCCAAGUCAAAACAGAAGAAGAGGGAGCAGAUACUGAUGGAUAAGUAUCAAAGGCUUCGCCGAAGGGUCAAGAAGAUUGAGAGGGCAUCAAAGAAGAAGAAAUCCCACGCUCCUUUGGUGAUUCAGCGAUACUGCUGUACACCCGCUGAGGACGACGAGAACAAGCUCAGUCCGCCGACUUGAUAUGUUUGGUAUAUGCCUUCUUUGUUUUGUUUUCUCAAUUUCUUUUACUUGUUUGUUAGUUGCAUGGCAAAUGAGUGGAUUUUGUUGACUGUCUAUUCUUAUCACAUAGUAGUAGGUGUUUGUUCUGGUCCUCUGUCAUAACAAUGUUUUACAUGCAGUAAUUAUGUGAGUUAAAGCAUGUACUAAGUUGUGCAAAAGCUAUUGCUGGUAGUUUGCUGUUCUAUUAAUUACUGCAAAUAGUGAUAAGUAAUUCUGUGAGUUAAGCAUGUGCUUACGUUGUGCAACAGAAUAUUGGUUGUAGUUUGCUGCUCGUUCAAAUAGUGAUAUUUGCAAUUCAAAUUGAAGUUAAUACUUGCAAAACUGCAACAGCCCUAAUCAUGUACACACUGCUUAUAGUGCUUACUUUCCACUCCGGAGUAACUACUUUUGAAACUCACCAUCUGGUUAUUGGAGCACAACCAAUUAAAGUUCAGAAUAUUUGACGAGGGACAAUAAUAUUUAGUUUGUUUGCCCUGUGUUUUGGCCCCAUUUAUAGCAAUCAGUCACAAAUCUAGCAUGUACUAGGGUCUUGUAAUGCACAUAGUAUAUUAUCGUGUGCAAAACAAUAUGUUUGUAGUUUUGCAUGGUUUGUUAUGCAUGCCGUGGGGGAUAGUUAUAUGCAGAAUUGCAGAUUGUAAUAAGGAACAGAGUUAAUCUAAUACUCCCUCCGUUCCAAAAUAGAUGGCUCCAAUUGAACGGAGGGAGUAGGUAACAACUCCAAUGGCGAAAAUCCACUGCUUAUUGGUAUCUUUAUGACAUGCCGUAAUUAUGAUUCUGCACUUAGAAGAUAGUUAUCUUGGUGUGCAUUUACUUUAGAAAUUGGAAUACCUUGGAUAUCAAAUUGCACGACUAUGACUCAAAUAGUAUAAAGUUGGGUCAUCUAUUUUGGAACGGAGGGAGUAGGUAACAACCCCAAUGGCGAAAAUCCACUGCUUAUUGGCAUCUUUAUGACAUGCCGUAAUUAUGAUUCUGCACUUAGAAGAUAGUUAUCUUGGUGUGCAUUUACUUUAGAAAUUGGAAUACCUUGGAUAUCAAAUUGCACGACUAUGGCCUCGUGCUCUCUUUGUAAUUUGUCUGUUGUUGUAUCUAUUGCAUCCAAUAUUACUAAGAUUUCCUUGUCAUCAUACUAAUUACGAAACAUGUUCCUGGCCUUUCUGUGUAGAUCAUGUUUGAAAUUCUCUUGCACAUGUGGAAACAAUUGCUGCGUUCAGGAUUGAAGGGCCAGGGUGUGACGACGGUCACAUGUUGGGAUUUUGCUGUUGCUGCUGCAGUUUUGUUGGAAAAUUUUGGAGUGAUGUAUUACUUUUCGAUUUGGUACCCAUGAGAAUAUCAAUUAGGUUGCAAUGAACUUUUCAUGAACUGUUGUCAGAGUGAAUUUGUUUGUUGCUACAUUGCGUUUUGAGAUGGAAGGGUGAUGCUAAUGACCAUGCUGGUUUUACUUGUUUUCCAUCAGAUUAAUUGUUUUUGGUGAUAACUACUAAUUCUGGUCCUUUUGCCUGCAUAGUUCUGUUGAUAGAGAGCUAAGUAGAUACAUUGCUGCCAUGGUCUAUGAUGUUCAUAUUUACCCAUCGAGAUGGAUUCAAUAU
This 4588-nucleotide long non-coding RNA is filed under the name Triticum aestivum (bread wheat). RNAcentral describes it as "long non-coding RNA (TAES_LNC027152)". The record is from RNAcentral. Lineage: Eukaryota; Viridiplantae; Streptophyta; Magnoliopsida; Poales; Poaceae.